UGGGUUCAAACAGAGUGACUCAGACCAUACACUCUUUCUUAAGCAUAAUGGAGGCAAAGUAACUGCAUUGAUAGUGUAUGUGGAUGACAUGAUUAUCACAGGGGAUGAUAAGAAGAGAUAUCCAGAAUUCAGAAACAGUUGGCAUCUGAGUACGAGAUAAAGAACUUGGGAGGCCUCAAGUAUUUCCUGGGAAUUGAAGUGGUUAGAUCAAGACAAGGCAUAUUCCUAUCCUAAAGAAAAUAUGUGAUAGACUUGCUGGCUGAGGUGGGGAUGUUGGAAUGUAAACCAGCGGAUACUCCUUAUCACUCAAAACCUUAAGCUGAGUGAGUGUUCAGAUCAAGUGCCAACGGAUAAAGGGAGAUAUCAAAAAUUAGUUGGCAAACUUAUAUACUUGUCUCAUACUCGUCCAGAUAUUGCCUAUGCCGUAAGUGUAGUUAGCCAGUUUAUGCAUAGCCCUAGCAAAGACCACAUGGAUGCUGUGACUCGAAUACUUCGAUAUCUAAAGUCCUCACCAGGGAGGGGACUGAUGUUUUCAAAGAAUGAUCACUUGAAAGUUGAUGGCUAUACAGAUGCAGAUUGGGAGGGGAACAUUUCAGAUAGGAGGUCUACCUCAGGCUACUUCAUGUUUGUAGGCGGUAAUCUCGUUACAUGGAGAAGUAAGAAGCAAAAAGUGGUAUCAUUAUCGAGUGCUGAAGCGGAGUUUCGUGGAAUGGCAAAAGGACUUUGUGAACUCCUCUGGAUCAGAAAACUGCUCACUGAACUUGGCUUUGCUCCUAUUACUGAGAUGGAUCUAUACUGUGACAACAAAGCUGCCAUUACAAUAUCUCAUGACCCGGUUCAACAUGAUAGAACAAAACAUGUGGAAAUAGAUCGACACUUCAUCAAGGAAAACUUGGUAGCAAAGACAAUUCGUUUCCCUUUUGUAAAGUCCGAGGAUCAACUAGCAGACAUACUCACAAAGGCAGUUUCAAGCAAGGACUUUCACAACUCACUUGACAAGUUGGGCAUCAGAGACCUGUAUGCAUCAACUUGAGGGGGAGUGUUGGCGUGAGUUGUUAGAAAUCUUUUUC
This 1070-nucleotide long non-coding RNA is filed under the name Olea europaea subsp. europaea. Lineage: Eukaryota; Viridiplantae; Streptophyta; Magnoliopsida; Lamiales; Oleaceae. The record is from RNAcentral.